Molecule: ribosomal RNA, 470 nt
Filed under: Gemella morbillorum
Lineage: Bacteria; Bacillati; Bacillota; Bacilli; Caryophanales; Gemellaceae
Description: bacterial SSU rRNA
Rfam family: Bacterial small subunit ribosomal RNA
Source: RNAcentral
GACGAACGCAGGCGGCGUGCCUAAUACAUGCAAGUCGAGCGAAGUUUUUCUGGUGCUUGCACUAGAAAAACUUAGCGGCGAACGGGUGAGUAACACGUAAAGAACCUGCCUCAUAGACUGGGACAACUAUUGGAAACGAUAGCUAAUACCGGAUAACAGUAUUUCUCGCAUGAGAGAUAUUUAAAAGUUGGUUAUGCUAACACUAUGAGAUGGCUUUGCGGUGCAUUAGCUAGUUGGUGGGGUAAAGGCCCACCAAGGCGACGAUGCAUAGCCGACCUGAGAGGGUGAUCGGCCACACUGGGACUGAGACACGGCCCAGACUCCUACGGGAGGCAGCAGUAGGGAAUCUUCCGCAAUGGGCGAAAGCCUGACGGAGCAACGCCGCGUGAGUGAAGAAGGAUUUCGGUUCGUAAAGCUCUGUUGUUAGGGAAGAAUGGAUAUGUAGUAACUAUACAUAUAAGAGACGGUAC